RNAcentral lists this ribosomal RNA (253 nucleotides) under uncultured bacterium. Its description in RNAcentral is "partial 16S ribosomal RNA". It matches the Rfam family "Bacterial small subunit ribosomal RNA", at positions 524 to 776 of the family's 1533-position model. The record is from RNAcentral.
UACGUAGGGUGCGAGCGUUGCUCGGAAUCACUGGGCGUAAAGCGCACGUAGUCGGACUCUUAAGUCGGUGGUGAAAUCCUGGAGCUCAACUCCAGAACUGCCUUCGAUACUGAGAGUCUUGAGUUCGGGAGAGGUGAGUGGAACUGCGAGUGUAGAGGUGAAAUUCGUAGAUAUUCGCAAGAACACCAGUGGCGAAGGCGGCUCACUGGCCCGAUACUGACGCUGAGGCACGAAAGCGUGGGGAGCAAACAGG